GACGAACGCUGGCGGCGUGCUUAAUACAUGCAAGUAGAACGCAGUUGCGAACGGGUGAGUAACGCGUAGGUAACUGCCCCAUUGCGGGGGAUUAACAUUGGAAACGAUAGCUAAUACCGCAUACUGUGAGCUGGACCUGCGUUGUAUUUGCUAGUUGGUGGGGUAAAGGCUCACCAAGGUGACGAUACAUAAUCGGCGUGGGAGGGAGGACGGGCACACUGGGACUGGGAACCGGCCCAAGCUCCGUCGGGAGGGAGCAGUAGGGGAACUUCGGCAAUGGACGGAAGUCUUACCGAGCAACGCCGCGUGGGUGGAGAAGGUUUUCGGGUCGGAAAGCUCUGUUGUUAGAGGAGCGGUACCUAACCAGAAAGGAACGGCUAACUACGUGCCAGCAGCCGCGGUAAUAC
RNAcentral lists this ribosomal RNA (407 nucleotides) under uncultured bacterium. Its description in RNAcentral is "partial 16S ribosomal RNA". It matches the Rfam family "Bacterial small subunit ribosomal RNA", at positions 28 to 526 of the family's 1533-position model. The record is from RNAcentral.